GCAGGGUUGGAGUGGUUGUGACGGAGAAGGUGUAGCCAGCAGAGCCUGAAAUAUUUACUAUCUGCUCCAAGCCCUGUGGCUUAUCUUCUCUG
Callorhinus ursinus (northern fur seal) is the source of this 92-nucleotide non-coding RNA. NCBI's taxonomy places the organism in Eukaryota, Metazoa, Chordata, Mammalia, Carnivora, Otariidae. The record is from RefSeq and is a predicted model, not a curated record.